GACGAACGCUGGCGGCGUGCUUAACACAUGCAAGUCGUACGGUAAGGCCCUUUCGGGGGUACACGAGUGGCGCACGGGUGAGUAACACGUGAGUAACCUGCCCACAACUUUGGGAUAACGCUAGGAAACUGGUGCUAAUACUGGAUAUGUGCUCCUGCUGCAUGGUGGGGGUUGGAAAGCUCCGGCGGUUGUGGAUGGACUCGCGGCCUAUCAGCUUGUUGGUGGGGUAGUGGCCUACCAAGGCGGCGACGGGUAGCCGGCCUGAGAGGGUGACCGGCCACAUUGGGACUGAGAUACGGCCAAGACUCCUACGGGAGGCAGCAGUGGGGAAUAUUGCACAAUGGGCGCAAGCCUGAUGCAGCAACGCCGCGUGCGGGAUGACGGCCUUCGGGUUGUAAACCGCUUUCAGCAGGGACGAAGCUUUUUGUGACGGUACCUGCAGAAGAAGCACCGGCUAACUACGUG
Molecule: ribosomal RNA, 465 nt
Filed under: uncultured bacterium
Lineage: Bacteria
Description: partial 16S ribosomal RNA
Rfam family: Bacterial small subunit ribosomal RNA
Source: RNAcentral